RNAcentral lists this long non-coding RNA (658 nucleotides) under Callithrix jacchus (white-tufted-ear marmoset). RNAcentral describes it as "lncRNA (ENSCJAG00000076715.1)". The record is from RNAcentral. Lineage: Eukaryota; Metazoa; Chordata; Mammalia; Primates; Cebidae.
AAAAUGGGUCUAACGAUCACACCUACUUGACUGGACUACAAUGAGGAAUCAAGUGAAUGCUAAGAAAAUGCUUUGUUAGUCGCAAAUCCCUGCAAAGACACAAGAUAUUUCAGGGUUCUCGAAUGACUUCCUUCAUGUAGGAGUCACAAUUCGCUCCUGUCCCUCUUCUCUGCUUUAACCAUCUGUCUCUCCAAUCUGAAAUCUGUUCCAUCUGAGCCCUAGCUGACCAGAGCCUUCCCUCUCCCUCUGUCCUGCCACGGCCUCCCCCUCCCAACCCUGGCUUGGCUCUGGGGGUGCUCAGUGGAAUAUGCAAAUGUCUCCCUAACCAGCUGGUGUCUGCCUCCCAGAAACACAUGUUCUUAAGCCUCUCUGCCUCACCAGGGAGGGGGGACCAGAGCCUCUGUCCAUGCCACAGCCCGGAGAGGACAUAUUACCGAGCAAGGAACAGCACAGCAAGCAGAUGGAGAAGGACUGCUAGCCACGGGGGAGGAAGGCAGGAGAGGAGCAGGCUGCCGGCUUGCUAGCCUGAUGCCACAGGAGCCUCUUAAGAGCCUCCGGAAUGGACCACAACAGAGCAAAGACAAGAGGUACAAAGUCUUUCAUCCCAGCCCCGGGACAGGCUGUCGUGAGCCUGGCUUCCUGAGAGCGGUGCAGGUGG